UACGGAGGAUCCGAGCGUUAUCCGGAUUUAUUGGGUUUAAAGGGUGCGUAGGUGGAUUGGUAAGUCAGUGGUGAAAGUUUGCAGCUUAACUGUAAAAUUGCCGUUGAAACUGCCGGUCUUGAGUGCAAAUGAGGUAGGCGGAAUGCGUCGUGUAGCGGUGAAAUGCUUAGAUAUUACGCAGAACUCCGAUUGCGAAGGCAGCUUACUGGGAUGCAACUGACGCUGAGGCACGAAAGCGUGGGGAUCGAACAGGAUUAGAUACCCGGGUA
RNAcentral lists this ribosomal RNA (269 nucleotides) under uncultured prokaryote. RNAcentral's name for it is "partial 16S ribosomal RNA". It matches the Rfam family "Bacterial small subunit ribosomal RNA", at positions 524 to 792 of the family's 1533-position model. The record is from RNAcentral.